UACGUAGGCAGCAAGCGUUGUUCGGAAUUACUGGGCGUAAAGAGUGUGUAGGCGGUGCUCUAAGUUCGGUGUGAAAUCUCCUGGCUCAACUGGGAGGGUGCGCCGGAAACUGGGGUGCUGGAGCGCGGGAGAGGAAAGCGGAAUUCCUGGUGUAGCGGUGAAAUGCGUAGAUAUCAGGAGGAACACCGGCGGUGUAGACGGCUUUCUGGACCGUAGCUGACGCUGAGACACGAAAGCGUGGGUAGCAAACAGG
Molecule: ribosomal RNA, 253 nt
Filed under: uncultured bacterium
Lineage: Bacteria
Description: partial 16S ribosomal RNA
Rfam family: Bacterial small subunit ribosomal RNA
Source: RNAcentral